AUGGAGGUGGAGGCGUUCCCGAUCGGGUUCACCAAGGGCGUGCGCGCGCACUGGCGCCGGCGCAAGUACCAGCGCCUGGAGGCCGGCGAGGGCGGCGGCAGCAGGUCCCAGGGCACGCAGCGCCUCGGCGGCUCCGGCGCGCGGCGCGUCGGGUGGCGCGUGCGGCUGCGCGGGCUUCUCAUCCGGCGCGCGCGCGCCGUCCGCGCGAUCGUAACGGCGCCGAGGAGGCUGCUGGCGCGGGCGCGGGACGCGUACGUGGGCGGCAUGCUGGCCGUGGCCCGGAAGGCGUCGGCCACGGCGCUGCCCGGCGGCGGGCCCGAGGGGAUCUGGGCCAGGCGCGUGCCGCGGCGGAAGCAGCUGCCCUCGGCGACGGCGGCGCGGACGUCCGAGUUCGAGCAGCGGCUGGUGAUGGAGAUCUACAAGUCCAUCGUCGCGUCCAAGGAGCUCACCACCAUGCUCCACUCCUCCACCGCGCACCUGCAGGCGCCGCCCGCGCGCGCCUAG
Molecule: ribosomal RNA, 504 nt
Filed under: Triticum aestivum (bread wheat)
Lineage: Eukaryota; Viridiplantae; Streptophyta; Magnoliopsida; Poales; Poaceae
Description: partial small subunit ribosomal RNA
Source: RNAcentral